RNAcentral lists this ribosomal RNA (774 nucleotides) under uncultured Neocallimastigales. Its description in RNAcentral is "partial large subunit ribosomal RNA". It matches the Rfam family "Eukaryotic large subunit ribosomal RNA", at positions 24 to 628 of the family's 3401-position model. Lineage: Eukaryota; Fungi; Neocallimastigomycota; Neocallimastigomycetes; Neocallimastigales. The record is from RNAcentral.
UAUGUGAUCGUCUCUCGCAUAUCAAUAAGCGGAGGAAAAGAAACUAACAAGGAUUCCCCUAGUAACGGCGAGUGAAGCGGGAAGAGCUCAAAUUUGAAAUCUUAAAGGGUUUCCCUUUACGAAUUGUAGUUUAAAGAAGUGUUUUCUGUUGAGGUUUUGGUAAAAGUUCUUUGGAAUAGGACAUCAUAGAGGGUGAGAAUCCCGUAUUUGACCUUUACUUUCAACUUUGUGAUACACUUUCAAAGAGUCGGAUUGUUUGGGAAUGCAGUCCAAAAUGGGUGGUAAAUUUCAUCUAAAGCUAAAUAUUGGCGAGAGACCGAUAGCGAACAAGUACCGUGAGGGAAAGAUGAAAAGAACUUUGAAAAGAGAGUUAAACAGUACGUGAAAUUGUCAAAAGGGAAGCGUUUGACACCAGUGUUGUUUUUCUGAAAAUCAAUUAAAGAACUGUUUAUGCUAAGCUGUUUAGACUUUAUCAGCUAUCUGUUUAGUUUUGAGCUUUUCUUUAAUGCACUUUUCAGUUAACAAGUCAACAUCAAUUUCUUUUGCUGUAAAAAAGCUUGAGGAAGGUGGCUUGAGAUUCGUCUUAAGUGUUUAUAGCCUCUUGCCUAUGCAGUCGGAGAGAUUGAGGUCUGCAGCGUAGAUCCUUCGGGGCUAAAUGCAUUUGUGCUAAGUUAUAGCAUUUUAUAGACAACUUGUUGACUAUGAUUUGUCUUGUAGCUUACUCGCUUAUGUUAUUUUACCUACGCUUAGGAUGUUGAGUCGUAGAGCACGCAG